GAUGAACGCUGGCGGCGUGCCUAAUACAUGCAAGUCGAGCGAACAGACGAGGAGCUUGCUCCUCUGACGUUAGCGGCGGACGGGUGAGUAACACGUGGAUAACCUACCUAUAAGACUGGGAUAACUUCGGGAAACCGGUGCUAAUACCGGAUAAUAUAUUCAACCGCAUGGUUCAAUAGUGAAAGACGGCUUUGCUGUCACUUAUAGAUGAUUCCGCGCCGCAUUAGCUAGUUGGUAAGGUAACGGCUUACCAAGGCAACGAUGCGUAGCCGACCUGAGAGGGUGAUCGGCCACACUGGAACUGAGACACGGUCCAGACUCCUACGGGAGGCAGCAGUAGGGAAUCUUCCGCAAUGGGCGAAAGCCUGACGGAGCAACGCCGCGUGAGUGAUGAAGGUCUUCGGAUCGUAAAACUCUGUUAUUAGGGAAGAACAAAUGUGUAAGUAACUAUGCACGUCUUGACGGUACCUAAUCAGAAAGCAACGGCUAACUACGUG
Molecule: ribosomal RNA, 497 nt
Filed under: uncultured bacterium
Lineage: Bacteria
Description: partial 16S ribosomal RNA
Rfam family: Bacterial small subunit ribosomal RNA
Source: RNAcentral